UGGGGAAUUUUGGACAAUGGGCGAAAGCCUGAUCCAGCAAUGCCGCGUGUGUGAAGAAGGCCUUCGGGUUGUAAAGCACUUUUGUCCGGAAAGAAAUGGCUCUGGUUAAUACCUGGGGUCGAUGACGGUACCGGAAGAAUAAGGACCGGCUAACUACGUGCCAGCAGCCGCGGUAAUACGUAGGGUCCAAGCGUUAAUCGGAAUUACUGGGCGUAAAGCGUGCGCAGGCGGUUGGGCAAGACCGAUGUGAAAUCCCCGAGCUUAACUUGGGAAUUGCAUUGGUGACUGCACGGCUAGAGUGUGUCAGAGGGGGGUAGAGUUCAACGUGUAGCAGUGAAGUGCGUAGAGAUGUGGAGGAAUACCGAUGGCGAAGGCAGCGCCCUGGGAUAACACUGACGCUCAUGCACGAAAGCGUGGGGAGCAAACAGG
This 429-nucleotide ribosomal RNA is filed under the name bacterium. RNAcentral describes it as "partial 16S ribosomal RNA". It matches the Rfam family "Bacterial small subunit ribosomal RNA", at positions 355 to 776 of the family's 1533-position model. The record is from RNAcentral.